Molecule: ribosomal RNA, 468 nt
Filed under: uncultured bacterium
Lineage: Bacteria
Description: partial 16S ribosomal RNA
Rfam family: Bacterial small subunit ribosomal RNA
Source: RNAcentral
GACGAACGCUGGCGGCGUGCUUAACACAUGCAAGUCGAACGGAAAGGCCCUGCUUUUGUGGGGUGCUCGAGUGGCGAACGGGUGAGUAACACGUGAGUAACCUGCCCUUGACUUUGGGAUAACUUAAGGAAACUGGGGCUAAUACCGGAUAGGAGCUCCUGCUGCAUGGGGGGGGUUGGAAAGUUUCGGCGGUUGGGGAUGGACUCGCGGCUUAUCAGCUUGUUGGUGGGGUAGUGGCUUACCAAGGCUUUGACGGGUAGCCGGCCUGAGAGGGUGACCGGCCACAUUGGGACUGAGAUACGGCCCAGACUCCUACGGGAGGCAGCAGUGGGGAAUAUUGCACAAUGGGCGGAAGCCUGAUGCAGCAACGCCGCGUGCGGGAUGACGGCCUUCGGGUUGUAAACCGCUUUCGCCUGUGACGAAGCGUGAGUGACGGUAAUGGGUAAAGAAGCACCGGCUAACUACGUG